Molecule: ribosomal RNA, 324 nt
Filed under: uncultured bacterium
Lineage: Bacteria
Description: bacterial SSU rRNA
Rfam family: Bacterial small subunit ribosomal RNA
Source: RNAcentral
GAUGAACGCUGGCGGCGUGCUUAACACAUGCAAGUCGAACGGAGAUAAACGGCGAAGAGAUUUCGGUCGAUUCCUGUUUAUCUUAGUGGCGGACGGGUGAGUAACGCGUGGGUAACCUGCCCUGUACAGGGGGAUAACACUUAGAAAUAGGUGCUAAAACCGCAUAAGCGCACAGUACCGCAUGGUACAGUGUGAAAAACUCCGGUGGUACAGGAUGGACCCGCGUCUGAUUAGCUGGUUGGAGGGGUAACGGCCCACCAAGGCGACGAUCAGUAGCCGGCCUGAGAGGGUGAACGGCCACAUUGGGACUGAGACACGGCCCAA